AAUGAACGCUGGCGGCGUGCUUAACACAUGCAAGUCGAACGCCUCACCAUUUCGGUGGUGAGGAGUGGCAGACGGGUGAGUAACGCGUGGGCAACCUACCUCUCAGUGGGGGAUACUCAGCCGAAAGGCUGGUUAAUACCGCAUAACACGCAUGCGUCAAAGUCGGGGCUCCGGGAAACUGGACCUGAUGCUGGGAGAGGGGCUCGCGUCGGAUUAGCUUGUUGGUGGGGUAAUGGCUCACCAAGGCAUCGAUCCGUAGCCGGCCUGAGAGGGUGAUCGGCCACACUGGAACUGAGACACGGUCCAG
This 307-nucleotide ribosomal RNA is filed under the name uncultured bacterium. RNAcentral's name for it is "bacterial SSU rRNA". It matches the Rfam family "Bacterial small subunit ribosomal RNA", at positions 29 to 334 of the family's 1533-position model. The record is from RNAcentral.